Molecule: transfer RNA, 91 nt
Filed under: Tropilaelaps mercedesae
Lineage: Eukaryota; Metazoa; Arthropoda; Arachnida; Mesostigmata; Laelapidae
Rfam family: tRNA
About the family: Transfer RNA (tRNA) molecules are approximately 80 nucleotides in length. Their secondary structure includes four short double-helical elements and three loops (D, anti-codon, and T loops). Further hydrogen bonds mediate the characteristic L-shaped molecular structure. tRNAs have two regions of fundamental functional importance: the anti-codon, which is responsible for specific mRNA codon recognition, and the 3' end, to which the tRNAs corresponding amino acid is attached (by aminoacyl-tRNA synthetases). tRNAs cope with the degeneracy of the genetic code in two manners: having more than one tRNA (with a specific anti-codon) for a particular amino acid; and 'wobble' base-pairing, i.e. permitting non-standard base-pairing at the 3rd anti-codon position.
Source: Rfam by way of RNAcentral
CCGUCGAUAGCUCAGUUGGUAGAGCGGAGGACUGUAGAGCAGGCGGGCAGCAGCUAUCCUUAGGUCGCUGGUUCAAAUCCGGCUCGACGGA